Molecule: ribosomal RNA, 465 nt
Filed under: uncultured Klebsiella sp.
Lineage: Bacteria; Pseudomonadati; Pseudomonadota; Gammaproteobacteria; Enterobacterales; Enterobacteriaceae
Description: bacterial SSU rRNA
Rfam family: Bacterial small subunit ribosomal RNA
Source: RNAcentral
CCUACGGGUGGCAGCAGUGGGGAAUAUUGCACAAUGGGCGCAAGCCUGAUGCAGCCAUGCCGCGUGUGUGAAGAAGGCCUUCGGGUUGUAAAGCACUUUCAGCGGGGAGGAAGGCGUUGAGGUUAAUAACCUUAUCGAUUGACGUUACCCGCAGAAGAAGCACCGGCUAACUCCGUGCCAGCAGCCGCGGUAAUACGGAGGGUGCAAGCGUUAAUCGGAAUUACUGGGCGUAAAGCGCACGCAGGCGGUCUGUCAAGUCGGAUGUGAAAUCCCCGGGCUCAACCUGGGAACUGCAUUCGAAACUGGCAGGCUAGAGUCUUGUAGAGGGGGGUAGAAUUCCAGGUGUAGCGGUGAAAUGCGUAGAGAUCUGGAGGAAUACCGGUGGCGAAGGCGGCCCCCUGGACAAAGACUGACGCUCAGGUGCGAAAGCGUGGGGAGCAAACAGGAUUAGAUACCCCGGUAGUC